ACUAUGACGUUGAUAGGUCGGGUGUGUAAGUGUAGCGAUACAUUGAGCUAACCGAUACUAAUGAACCGUGAGGCUUAACCUUACAACGCCGAAG
RNAcentral lists this ribosomal RNA (94 nucleotides) under Citrobacter freundii. RNAcentral describes it as "partial 23S ribosomal RNA". The stretch from base 1 to 82 matches the Rfam family "Bacterial large subunit ribosomal RNA", at positions 2844 to 2925 of the family's 2925-position model. Lineage: Bacteria; Pseudomonadati; Pseudomonadota; Gammaproteobacteria; Enterobacterales; Enterobacteriaceae. The record is from RNAcentral.